GCCUCCAGGGUACCCAGCGCGCCGCUCAUCGGGGGUCGACAGUAUGCGCCGCCAUGAGGGUCCACAUGAGCCGCGUCGGGAGUCCACCCGCUCUCACCUCGCUGAUUUUCCCGGCGCGCUACCCUGCUCAAUGGAGAACGCGCCAUCAGCCGUGGCCCUGCUCACCGGCCUGAGAAGCCAUCGCCAGGGCCGCCCUUGGGACUCCAUCCUCUCUCGCCCCAUCUACUAAUUUGCUGCUACUGGAUGUUACUUUCCCGCCUUUGCGUGCAAUCGCCGCCAGUCAACUCUCACGAGACUGCCUCCCGCGUGCGCACUACCGGCCAGUGCCGUUCUGCCCCUCAGUUUCGACCCAUAGUGGCAUGAAUCUUGGAGAACUACACUGUUGUUUUGCUCGACCUGCGCUUCUGCUGGUGACGUCAACCAACUGGUGAUGUGAAGUGCACUUUGGAUGAUUUAUGUGCUUGGUUCAGCUGGCACCUAUCAUCAAGACGCAGAUGCGGCCGAUUUUUGGUGUCCGCUUGUUUUUUAUUUGGAUACUUUUUCUGUUGAAUUUAUACUGCUUCUUGUCCCAUCCAACCGUGUGAUUAAUUUCUUCACUGUGUCUAUACUUUUCUUAUAUUUGGAUCCACUUUUCUGUCUAAUUUAUGCUGCUUGCAUGCUAGUUUACAGAGAACUAAUAGAAAGUAUAUGCUGGAAGUGCACAUAGGAGAAAAUAGGCAGUUCUUUAUAUAUAAAAUAAUAUAAGUGCUAUUCAUUUUGUAACUCUACCUUCUUCCGUCCAAAAAGUUCAUCAUUUUGGUAGUUCGUUUGGUAUUCACGGGGAGUUCAUUCAUUAGAGGAAGUUUAGUUUGGAUUGAAAAAACAGUUCGAUCAUGCCACACAUGUAGUUUUUAUUUCUUUUCUUGUGAAGUCCAAUUCAUAUGCACUUGAAAGUUCACAAUUUGUAUAUGUAAAAAUUGCAGACAUUACAUACUUGGACAAACUGCAUAUAUUUCAGCCGAUUAGUUCAUUUGAUCUAUGCAUGAAGUUCACAUGUUUUUUCCCUGGGAGUUCGCCGUGUCAAUCAUUUUGUUGGCAAGGUCACACAAUUUUUAUGUGGAAGUUCACUUUCUCACAAUGUGACAGUUUGCUAUUGCAGAGCUUGAGGGUGCAGAACCGAAGUGACGUUCCGAACUCCUACGAAGGACGCUCCAGGCCUCCAUCUCCAGACCUCAAUGAGACCGUGGCAUCAUGUGCUCUCCAGUGAUGCGCCUGAUUGAUUACCAGCGCUUCCACCUACGUCAUGUGGCCCACCGUGAAGUCCACCGUGUGGGCGUCAAGAGUCCACACCACCGUGAACUGUGAAGAACAGCUGGACUCGCCCGAGCGCGUGUUCGAAUACUCCCCCGAGGAUCCUCUGAACUUCUCCUUGCCAUGUGCUGUGAAGGUGAUUUCAUCCGGGAAGUUCACCGUGCCCCCAUCGGGUGCCCCCA
This is a long non-coding RNA of Lolium rigidum, 1472 nucleotides long. RefSeq lists it as uncharacterized. NCBI's taxonomy places the organism in Eukaryota, Viridiplantae, Streptophyta, Magnoliopsida, Poales, Poaceae. The record is from RefSeq and is a predicted model, not a curated record. The transcript has 3 exons.